RNAcentral lists this ribosomal RNA (463 nucleotides) under Clostridium perfringens. RNAcentral's name for it is "partial 23S ribosomal RNA". It matches the Rfam family "Bacterial large subunit ribosomal RNA", at positions 730 to 1192 of the family's 2925-position model. The record is from RNAcentral. Lineage: Bacteria; Bacillati; Bacillota; Clostridia; Eubacteriales; Clostridiaceae.
CUAUCCAUGGCCAGGUUGAAGCGAGGGUAAAACCUCGUGGAGGACCGAACCACGUUGCUGUUGAAAAAGCAUGGGAUGAGCUGUGGAUAGCGGAGAAAUUCCAAUCGAACCCGGAGAUAGCUGGUUCUCUCCGAAAUAGCUUUAGGGCUAGCGUCGAGUAUGAGUAGUGGAGGUAGAGCACUGAAUGGGCUAGGGGGCAUAGCGCUUACCGAACCUUAUCAAACUCCGAAUGCCACAUACUUUGAGCUCGGCAGUCAGACUACGAAUGAUAAGAUCCGUGGUCAAAAGGGAAACAGCCCAGAUCGUCAGCUAAGGUCCCAAAGUGUAAGUUAAGUGGGAAAGGAUGUGAGAUUUCUAAGACAACUAGGAUGUUGGCUUAGAAGCAGCCAUUCAUUAAAAGAGUGCGUAAUAGCUCACUAGUCGAGAGAUCUUGCGCCGAAAAUGUAACGGGGCUAAACUUACC